This 496-nucleotide ribosomal RNA is filed under the name uncultured bacterium. RNAcentral's name for it is "partial 16S ribosomal RNA". It matches the Rfam family "Bacterial small subunit ribosomal RNA", at positions 28 to 506 of the family's 1533-position model. The record is from RNAcentral.
GAUGAACGCUGGCGGCGUGCCUAAUACAUGCAAGUCGAGCGAACAGACGAGGAGCUUGCUCCUCUGACGUUAGCGGCGGACGGGUGAGUAACACGUGGAUAACCUACCUAUAAGACUGGGAUAACUUCGGGAAACCGGAGCUAAUACCGGAUAAUAUAUUGAACCGCAUGGUUCAAUAGUGAAAGACGGUUUUGCUGUCACUUAUAGAUGGAUCCGCGCCGCAUUAGCUAGUUGGUAAGGUAACGGCUUACCAAGGCGACGAUGCGUAGCCGACCUGAGAGGGGGUUCGGCCACACAGGAACUGAGACGCGGUCCAGACUCCUACGGGAGGCAGCAGUAGGGAAUCUUCCGAAAUGGGCGAAAGCCUGACGGAGCAACGCCGCGUGAGUGAUGAAGGUCUUCGGAUCGUAAAACGCUGUUAUUAGGGAAGAACAAAUGUGUAAGUAACUAUGCGCGUCUGGAGGGUACCUAAACAGAAAGCCACGGCUAACUACGU